RNAcentral lists this RNase P RNA (290 nucleotides) under Candidatus Bathyarchaeota archaeon. Its description in RNAcentral is "RNase P RNA component". It matches the Rfam family "Archaeal RNase P". From Rfam's summary of the family: Ribonuclease P (RNase P) is a ubiquitous endoribonuclease, found in archaea, bacteria and eukarya as well as chloroplasts and mitochondria. Its best characterised activity is the generation of mature 5'-ends of tRNAs by cleaving the 5'-leader elements of precursor-tRNAs. The record is from RNAcentral. RNAcentral also lists the same sequence under 1 other name. Lineage: Archaea; Thermoproteati; Candidatus Bathyarchaeota.
GUGAGCCGGUGAGCGGCUGCCGGGCCAAUGGCCUGAGGAAACUCCAUCCACCGUGCAGGACCGCGACGCUGUGAGGCGUAGGGGGAGACCCCUGGCAACGGACAGAAACGAUACCUCCCGUGGCAUGCUUUGACGCCUUGGAGGCCGAGGACGCUACGGGUUUGGGUGAGACGGCUGACCCAGCGGGGUGAAAGGGCGAAUAGGGGUCCGACGACCUCCUGCGGUAGGACCCGGGUAGCCCGUAUAGCUGAAUGCCGCUUAGAACAGAAGGUGGGUUACGGCCGGCACAC